RNAcentral lists this transfer RNA (72 nucleotides) under Acidobacteriota bacterium. Its description in RNAcentral is "Acidobacteria bacterium tRNA-Val". It matches the Rfam family "tRNA". Rfam says of the family: Transfer RNA (tRNA) molecules are approximately 80 nucleotides in length. Their secondary structure includes four short double-helical elements and three loops (D, anti-codon, and T loops). The record is from RNAcentral. Lineage: Bacteria; Pseudomonadati; Acidobacteriota.
GCGCGGUUAGCUCAGCGGAAGAGCACCUGCCUUACACGCAGGGGGUCACAGGUUCAAAUCCUGUACCGCGCA